This 524-nucleotide ribosomal RNA is filed under the name uncultured bacterium. RNAcentral describes it as "partial 16S ribosomal RNA". It matches the Rfam family "Bacterial small subunit ribosomal RNA", at positions 28 to 523 of the family's 1533-position model. The record is from RNAcentral.
GACGAACGCUGGCGGCGUGCCUAAUACAUGCAAGUCGAGCGCAGGAAAUCGACGGAACCCUUCGGGGGGAAGUCGACGGAAUGAGCGGCGGACGGGUGAGUAACACGUAAAGAACCUGCCCUCAGGUCUGGGAUAACCACGAGAAAUCGGGGCUAAUACCGGAUGGGUCAUCGGACCGCAUGGUCCGAGGAUGAAAGGCGCUUCGGCGUCGCCUGGGGAUGGCUUUGCGGUACAUUAGCUAGUUGGUGGGGUAAUGGCCCACCAAGGCGACGGUGCAUAGCCGACCUGAGAGGGUGAUCGGCCACACUGGGACUGAGACACGGCCCAGACUCCUACGGGAGGCAGCAGUAGGGAAUCUUCCACAAUGGACGAAAGUCUGAUGGAGCAACGCCGCGUGAACGAUGAAGGCCUUCGGGUCGUAAAGUUCUGUUGUAAGGGAAGAACAAGUGCCGCAGGCAAUGGCGGCACCUUGACGGUACCUUGCGAGAAAGCCACGGCUAACUACGUGCCAGCAGCCGCCGCCG